RNAcentral lists this transfer RNA (83 nucleotides) under Halobacteriovorax sp. RNAcentral describes it as "tRNA-Leu". It matches the Rfam family "tRNA". Rfam says of the family: Transfer RNA (tRNA) molecules are approximately 80 nucleotides in length. Their secondary structure includes four short double-helical elements and three loops (D, anti-codon, and T loops). The record is from RNAcentral. Lineage: Bacteria; Pseudomonadati; Bdellovibrionota; Bacteriovoracia; Bacteriovoracales; Halobacteriovoraceae.
GCCUUCUUGGUGAAAUUGGUAAACACAACAGACUUAAAAUCUGUCCUCUAUUGAGGCUGAUGGUUCGAGUCCAUCAGAAGGUA